RNAcentral lists this ribosomal RNA (438 nucleotides) under uncultured bacterium. Its description in RNAcentral is "partial 16S ribosomal RNA". It matches the Rfam family "Bacterial small subunit ribosomal RNA", at positions 339 to 795 of the family's 1533-position model. The record is from RNAcentral.
CUACGGGGCGCUCCAGUGAGGAAUAUUGCACAAUGGGGGGAACCCUGAUGCAGCAACGCCGCGUGGAGGAUGACGCAUUUCGGUGUGUAAACUCCUUUUAUAUGUCAAGAAAAUGACGGUAGCAUAUGAAUAAGCGCCGGCAACUCCGUGCCAGCAGCCGCGGUAAUACGGAGGGCGCAAGCGUUACUCGGAAUCACUGGGCGUAAAGGACGCGUAGGCGGGUUGAAAAGUCAGGUGUGAAAGCCUACAGCUUAACUGUAGAACUGCACUUGAAACUCUCAAUCUAGAGUAUGGGAGGGGCAGAUGGAAUUAGUGGUGUAGGGGUAAAAUCCGUAGAUAUCACUAGGAAUACCUAAAGCGAAGGCGAUCUGCUGGAACAUUACUGACGCUAAGGCGUGAAAGCGUGGGGAGCAAACAGGAUUAGAUACCCCAGUAGUC